GUGGGGAAUAUUCCGCAAUGGACGAAAGUCUGACGGAGCAACGCCGCGUGAGUGAUGAAGGUUUUCGGACUGUAAAGCUCUGUUGUUUAGGACGAAAGUGCCUGUUGCGAACAGUUACAGGUAUUGACGGUACUAAACGAGGAAGCCACGGCUAACUACGUGCCAGCAGCCGCGGUAAUACGUAGGUGGCAAGCGUUGUCCGGAAUUAUUGGGCGUAAAGAGCAUGUAGGCGGAGAUUUAAGUCUGUUGUGAAAAUGCGGGGCUCAACCCCGUAUUGCGAUGGAAACUGAAUUUCUUGAGUGCAGGAGAGGAAAGGGGAAUUCCCAGUGUAGCGGUGAAAUGCGUAGAUAUUGGGAGGAACACCAGUGGCGAAGGCGCCUUUCUGGACUGUGUCUGACGCUGAGAUGCGAAAGCCAGGGUAGCGAACGGGAUUAGAUACCCGAGUAGUCC
This 450-nucleotide ribosomal RNA is filed under the name uncultured bacterium. RNAcentral's name for it is "partial 16S ribosomal RNA". It matches the Rfam family "Bacterial small subunit ribosomal RNA", at positions 354 to 796 of the family's 1533-position model. The record is from RNAcentral.